UGUUUGUUUCCUUUUAAAAUUUAUUAAUAACAAGCUGUACAUGUUGAUUAUAUAAAAUGAAGUUAUAUAUUUGUAAAUAAUAAGUUAAGAUAGUAAUGGUUAACUUGGUACCAUGGCUACACUCUGGUCUAUCUUAAUUAAUUUAGUGAUCAGAAAAAAGUUUAUAAGAAAAUGAUGGGGAUUGAGUGCUUCUUAUUCUUAUGUUGUGAUGUUAAACCAGUGUCCUAGGCCUAUGGGACAGUUUAGUGUAACUAAACUUAUGUUAAAGUAUGCUGGUCAUACAAAGACAACAAACAAAACUUCAUUCUUAAUUACUUGUGUGUUGUCUCCCUUGACUUCUUGUGUAUUAUCUCCCUUGUUUGAUUCUAUUAAAUUGAGAUAAACCUACAUUUAAUGUAAAGGUAUGAUUUUUAUGUUAUUUAUUAUAAUUAUUAUGAGGGAAGAUAUUCUGCUGUUAUGAAGAGGAGAAAUAAAUUAUUUAAACACUC
Long non-coding RNA from Mytilus trossulus (common blue mussel), 488 nucleotides. RefSeq lists it as uncharacterized. Lineage: Eukaryota; Metazoa; Mollusca; Bivalvia; Mytilida; Mytilidae. The record is from RefSeq and is a predicted model, not a curated record. The transcript is spliced from 2 exons.